CCUUCGAUAGCUCAGUUGGUAGAGCGGAGGACUGUAGUUGGGUCUUGCGGGCAUCCUUAGGUCGCUGGUUCGAAUCCGGCUCGAAGGA
This 88-nucleotide transfer RNA is filed under the name Neotoma lepida (desert woodrat). It matches the Rfam family "tRNA". Rfam says of the family: Transfer RNA (tRNA) molecules are approximately 80 nucleotides in length. Their secondary structure includes four short double-helical elements and three loops (D, anti-codon, and T loops). Lineage: Eukaryota; Metazoa; Chordata; Mammalia; Rodentia; Cricetidae. The record is from Rfam by way of RNAcentral.